AUGAACGCUGGCGGCGUGCUUAACCCCUGCAAGUCGCACGAUGAAGCCCAGCUUGCUGGGUGGAUUAGUGGCGAACGGGUGAGUAACACGUGAGUAACCUGCCCUUAACUCUGGGAUAAGCCUGGGAAACUGGGUCUAAUACCGGAUAGGAGCGUCCACCGCAUGGUGGGUGUUGGAAAGAUUUAUCGGUUUUGGAUGGACUCGCGGCCUAUCAGCUUGUUGGUGAGGUAAUGGCUCACCAAGGCGACGACGGGUAGCCGGCCUGAGAGGGUGACCGGCCACACUGGGACUGAGACACGGCCCAGACUCCUACGGGAGGCAGCAGUGGGGAAUAUUGCACAAUGGGCGCAAGCCUGAUGCAGCGACGCCGCGUGAGGGAUGACGGCCUUCGGGUUGUAAACCUCUUUCAGUAGGGAAGAAGCGAAAGUGACGGUACCUGCAGAAGAAGCACCGGCUAACUACGUG
Molecule: ribosomal RNA, 465 nt
Filed under: uncultured bacterium
Lineage: Bacteria
Description: partial 16S ribosomal RNA
Rfam family: Bacterial small subunit ribosomal RNA
Source: RNAcentral